RNAcentral lists this ribosomal RNA (253 nucleotides) under uncultured bacterium. RNAcentral's name for it is "partial 16S ribosomal RNA". It matches the Rfam family "Bacterial small subunit ribosomal RNA", at positions 524 to 776 of the family's 1533-position model. The record is from RNAcentral.
UACGAAGGGGGCUAGCGUUGUUCGGAAUUACUGGGCGUAAAGGGCGUGUAGGCGGUGCGGCAAGUUGGGAGUGAAAUCUCUGGGCUUAACCCAGAGGCUGCUUCCAAAACUGCCGUGCUAGAGUGCGAGAGAGGCCAGUGGAAUUGCAGGUGUAGCGGUGAAAUGCGUAGAUAUCUGGAGGAACACCCGUGGCGAAGGCGGCUGGCUGGAUCGCAACUGACGCUGAGGAACGAAAGCUAGGGGAGCAAACAGG